GCCUUUGCAUCCUGUUCUCACUAUUUGGAAUACCGUUCUCAUCUUUUCUGCCAGCUAUCAGCUCAAGUAUUACCUCAUAUGUGAAGCCUUCUUUGCUCUUUCCAGGAUGCCUCCACAGCACAGCUGAUGAGCAGGUCCGCACCCGGGAUCCAAACCCAUGAACAUGGGAUGCAGAAUCCGAGUAUGUGGAACUUUAACCCCUUGGCCAUGGGGCCAGCCCUCCCAGUUUUAGUUUUUAAGCACAUUCGUCCCAGUGCCGAAGUGAACAGAAAGAACAAUGGUUUCUACAUUAUUUCACGAGGAGGAAUUGGACGUCCUCUCAAGUACGUCUUCUUAAAGGCACAUUGCAGAGCUGAGAGCCUGAAACCACUCAACUCCCAGGAAAGGAACAUCCUUAUCUCCAAAGAGAAAGGGACCGAGAGAAGAAUCCUAACAAACAGGCCAUGCUAAGUUCCCCCAUUUUACCGCAAUGACCUCAUACUCCUUAACCUAUCCUGUUCCUCCAUGGCUGUCCAUCCAUCGUCAGACCUAGCGCUAAAGUCCACAGCAGUCAUGCUGAAUGUGAAGUGGUACUUCAUUGUGCUUCUUUGACGUAUAUUUUUAAAAGAGCCAAUAAAUCUGGAUCAAGAACCUUGUUUGAUGUGUGUCAUGAGGUUUUUCUCUGCCACCCUCUGAUUACCCUGUGAGGAUGUCUCCCCAAGCACUCCCAGAACAACUGGAAGAGCAAAGGCUGAUAUUGUGGAGACUCAAGCUGAUGCAAGAACGGAAGGUGCUGUCGCCGGAGCGGGGCUGCUGGAAGGAAGACAGGCAGCUGCGUCCAGCGCGCCCGACCACGGCGUCAGCCCGCUGCCCGUGGUUCUCCCGCGAGGCGGCGUGUGGAAGUGCGAACGCUUCUAAAUAGGGAAGACUCUUUUCCUGUUGUGGAGUACUGAGCAUAUGAGCAUGCGUGUGUGUGCGCAUACAUGUCAACCUAAUCAUCCUUGUGCCUGAGGAAUUGUUCCUGCCUGAAGGAAUGAGUGCCUUGGGAGAAGAUCUGAAAAAAUGGCUCUGUUUUUUAUUAAUCAACUUCAAACUGAUCAGGGAAGGCAGAUAUGAUGAAUUUCUAGAGGUACAGUACUUUAAAAUCUGAAUUUAUGCUGGGGAAUGAGUAAACAAAGUUUACACAGAGUAAACGAAGGCAGAAUAAUGGCCAUCCCCCCACCUGGAUGUCCAUGUCUUAAUCCCCAGGUCUGUGAAUAUAUUAGUUUCCAGGCAGAGGGGGAGUAAAGCCGCAGAUGGAGUUCCUAAUCAGCUGACCUUCAGAUGGGGAG
Molecule: long non-coding RNA, 1310 nt
Filed under: Equus caballus (horse)
Lineage: Eukaryota; Metazoa; Chordata; Mammalia; Perissodactyla; Equidae
Description: lncRNA (ENSECAG00000029536.3)
Source: RNAcentral